This 795-nucleotide ribosomal RNA is filed under the name Triticum aestivum (bread wheat). RNAcentral describes it as "partial small subunit ribosomal RNA". The record is from RNAcentral. Lineage: Eukaryota; Viridiplantae; Streptophyta; Magnoliopsida; Poales; Poaceae.
AUGGAUGUUAAUUUUGUUGGUACGAACAAUUUUGGUAAUAACGCGUAUAGAGGAAACAACAACCCUAGGCCGUUUCCUACUAAUCCCUCUAAUAAUUAUGGUAAUUCCUACAAUAAUUAUUAUGGAAAUUAUAAUAAAAUACCCUCUGAUCUUGAGAAAAAUAUUAAAUAUUUCAUUAAUUCUCAAAAGAUUUUCAAUGCUAUGGUUGAAGAAAAAUUGCUUAAGAUUGAUGAUUUGGCUAGAAACGUUGAUAGAAUUUCCUAUGAGAUUGAUUCUUUUAAGAUUAGAUAUAUGCCACCCAAGAUUGGUAUUAACGAAUCUCUUAAAGCUAUUAAAAUUUCUAUUAAUGAAAGUAGAGAGAGAACCGCUAGGAUGUGUGCUAAGAGAGAUUGGCUAGAAAAAGCAUGCUCUUCUAGUUUUUGUGAUAAUAAUGAUGAUGAAGAUCUUAAAGUAAUUGGUGUGACUCCUAUUGAAUCUUUGUUUGCUAAUAUAAAACUUGAUAAAUAUGGGACUAGAGAAGAGUCAACUUUAGCUGAAAGGCGUCCCAAUAAUUUGGAGGGUGAAAAUCUUAAUGAAAAAAUUGAUAAAAGUGGGAUUGGCGAGGUCAAAACUUUAGGUAGCGAUGAACCCACUCUUUUGGAUUUCAAGGAUGUUAAUUAUGAUAAUUGUUCUUUGAUAGGUUGUAUUUCCUUGUUGCAAUCCAUGCCAAAUCCACCUCAUUCUUAUAAUCAAAAUAAGGCUUUUACUAAACAUAUCGUGGAUGCUAUGAUGAAAUUGUUCGAAGAAAAACUCUAG